Molecule: ribosomal RNA, 497 nt
Filed under: uncultured bacterium
Lineage: Bacteria
Description: partial 16S ribosomal RNA
Rfam family: Bacterial small subunit ribosomal RNA
Source: RNAcentral
GAUGAACGCUGGCGGCGUGCCUAAUACAUGCAAGUCGAGCGAACGGACGAGAAGCUUGCUUCUCUGAUGUUAGCGGCGGACGGGUGAGUAACACGUGGAUAACCUACCUAUAAGACUGGGAUAACUUCGGGAAACCGGAGCUAAUACCGGAUAAUAUUUUGAACCGCAUGGUUCAAAAGUGAAAGACGGUCUUGCUGUCACUUAUAGAUGGAUCCGCGCUGCAUUAGCUAGUUGGUAAGGUAACGGCUUACCAAGGCAACGAUGCGUAGCCGACCUGAGAGGGUGAUCGGCCACACGGGAACUGAGACACGGUCCAGACUCCUACGGGAGGCAGCAGUAGGGAAUCUUCCGCAAUGGGCGAAAGCCUGACGGAGCAACGCCGCGUGAGUGAUGAAGGUCUUCGGAUCGUAAAACUCUGUUAUUAGGGAAGAACAGAUGUGUAAGUAACUGUGCACAUCUUGACGGUACCUAAUCAGAAAGCCACGGCUAACUACGUG